GUCCGGCCAGCCGAGUACAAGGGCUGCCAGGAGCUCGCCCAGGCAGCCCAGCAGCAGCAAAGGACAAGUGUGGAUGGGAACUGGGGCUGGGCCAUGCUGGGCUGUGCUGCGGGGAGAGCAUCCCAGGGCAGAGGGAAGAGCUGGGAAGGGAAGAGUUUCCUAGAAGCCGGAGACAUUAUAACUGGGGUAAGGUGGUGUGAUCUGAAGACGGGAAGCACGAAGGGCAAGGGGGAUGCCAAGAUGCGAAGGACAAGUGAAGCCUCCAGUUGGAAGAAGCGAGCCCAGAGUUCCAAGGACAGUCAUGCAGGAGACAGGAAGAGUGUUCCUGACCAGGACCGGUCAAAGAGGUCAAUAAGUAUGAAGAGAAACAAUGGAUGAAGAUGAAGCCGGCUGGUCAUGGGGCAGGUUAGGGGGAGGUGGCACCCAGUUUUCCUGACCCCCAACUCGGAAUCUCCAGGCACAAGACCUGGCCACAGACGCUCUCACCUGUGAAGUUCUCGAGGCAUCUGAUUGGACCGACACCAGGUUAAAGGUGACAAAUAAAAAUGAAUGAUCAGCACUUCCUUCUCGCCACCAGCCAUGAGAUGCACGAACGUUCUAGUUUCUAGGUAACUACAAAUACUCUGCCAGACUUAUAGGAAAAGCAGUUUGUGUCCUCUGACCUGGAGACUGUGGAAGCCAUAGCUCUGGAGCUGGGAAAACCUGGCCCAGGGAGGGGGGGAUCCCCCCAACCCCACCUCUCAACCCCUGGGACACAAGCACCUUCCAAAAGAUUUAUUUUAAUCCUUUAGGACACAAAUAAGACCACUUUGUUGCGAGAAAAAAAAUCACAGGUAAACCUUCCUUCCCCCACCCAAAGGUAAU
Zalophus californianus (California sea lion) is the source of this 864-nucleotide long non-coding RNA. RefSeq lists it as uncharacterized. The transcript has 3 exons. The record is from RefSeq and is a predicted model, not a curated record. NCBI's taxonomy places the organism in Eukaryota, Metazoa, Chordata, Mammalia, Carnivora, Otariidae.